RNAcentral lists this ribosomal RNA (461 nucleotides) under uncultured bacterium. RNAcentral's name for it is "bacterial SSU rRNA". It matches the Rfam family "Bacterial small subunit ribosomal RNA", at positions 330 to 789 of the family's 1533-position model. The record is from RNAcentral.
ACCAGACUCCUACGGGAGGCAGCAGUGAGGAAUAUUGGUCAAUGGGCGAGAGCCUGAACCAGCCAAGUCGCGUGAGGGAAGACGGUCCUAUGGAUUGUAAACCUCUUUUGCCGGGGAGCAAAAAGCGGUACGCGUACCGCAUCGAGAGUACCCGGAGAAAAAGCAUCGGCUAACUCCGUGCCAGCAGCCGCGGUAAUACGGAGGAUGCGAGCGUUAUCCGGAUUUAUUGGGUUUAAAGGGUGCGCAGGCGGAUUUUUAAGUCAGCGGUCAAAUCGUGGGGCUCAACCCCAUCCAGCCGUUGAAACUGGGGAUCUAGAGUGUGCGAGAGGUAUGCGGAAUGCGUGGUGUAGCGGUGAAAUGCAUAGAUAUCACGCAGAACCCCGAUUGCGAAGGCAGCAUACCGGUGCCCUACUGACGCUGAGGCACGAAAGCGUGGGUAUCGAACAGGAUUAGAUACCCCA